UCGGGCAUCUCGUUUCCUUCUGUUAACCUUUCUUUCUCAUCAGAGAGCUGGGAUGUAGCCUUAAGAGAGACUCUGAUUCUAUAUCUCCAAGAGUGGCAGGCCACUGGUGGGGAGGGUAGUUUGAUGAGGUAACCAACUGCUUUCUGCUUGACUCUGAGGCCCACGCCCACUGGCUGGAACACAUGCCUGAAUCUGUAACCCUGGUGAAGAGCCCAGGGGUAGUGAGUUCAAACACCUUAGGCUCUGAAACUCUUCCUCCAGCUGCCUCAGACCCAUGACAAGAGAAGAAAAUCUGCAGAGAGCAAAGCAAAAAGCAACAUAUUUGUGGCUCAAGCUGGAAGAGUGGAAAGAAAGACAACCACUCCAUGGAUCCAAUGGGAUACUGCAAAGUGUUGAACAUCCUCCAACCAUUUUUCCUGGAAUGGGAGAGAUUCAUCAAACGCCAUGACUCAAUUCCAUUUGCGUUAUCACCUCUAGUCAAAUAAAAAUGUCCUGGAAGCUGGGGAUGGUGCAGAUACCUACAGCAUAUGGCCACACAAGGCCAACCUCAGGAUGAAAGCGAAGGAAAUCAGACAGUUGCCCAGAAACUCCCAAGUACUGGCAACGAAUCUGAACGAGAGCUGGAAUUUUUUCACUUUUCAUCUACUCUGUGUAUAACCACGCAAAGAGCUGAAGUUGUCUUGGUGGGAGCUGUGUCUUGGCAACAGCCGGCGUGUUAAGCUCCCUGAGACCGGGGCUGGCAAUGCUGUGAACGCCAUUAUUAAUAUUAAUGUAUUGCUAGAUGUUCCUGCUCAGGUGCUCUGGAGAAUACGCCUGGGCCAUUGCUGGCAGCUGUUGAGUUGCAGUCUGAGGCCUGAUUGUUGAUCAUCUCCAAUGCUCUGUUCACAGAGUCAGGCCUGCUGGAGGGUUGGCACUCAAUUUAUCCAUGGUAAACAAGAAGAAGUGUCUGAUAAUGCAGUGGAAAUUUAACUACAAUAGUUCUUAUUCUCAAAAAAAAAGGUGGUUCAAACCU
Long non-coding RNA from Alexandromys fortis (reed vole), 1012 nucleotides. RefSeq lists it as uncharacterized. The transcript has 3 exons. NCBI's taxonomy places the organism in Eukaryota, Metazoa, Chordata, Mammalia, Rodentia, Cricetidae. The record is from RefSeq and is a predicted model, not a curated record.